RNAcentral lists this long non-coding RNA (776 nucleotides) under Monodelphis domestica (gray short-tailed opossum). Its description in RNAcentral is "lncRNA (ENSMODG00000036093.2)". Lineage: Eukaryota; Metazoa; Chordata; Mammalia; Didelphimorphia; Didelphidae. The record is from RNAcentral.
ACUGUGGCUUUCCAUUCUGAGCCUGAAGACAAAGAUGAGGCCUGAAGCAGGAGUCCAGUGCAGUUAUUUGUAAACAUGGGGCCAGGGAUAUGAGAGAGCAUCCUCCCAGGAAGGCUAAAGGCCCUUCUUAAUAGGCCCACCCUUAUUCCUACAAAUACUCUAGUUAACAGGAAUCUAAAAGAAAGCACAAAGCAGAAGGUGUCUCCACUCCAACCUGACAUCUUCCAACCUGCUACCAUGGAUCCAACAAAUGUUGCAGUGCAGCAUGGGAUACUCCCACAUAAACCCCACCCAGCCCCUCAGCCAGCCACACACCCAGAGAAGACACUGCCAUGCUCACAUGCAAAUUCUUGUUCCCCCAAAUCACUCCAUAAAAUGUUGUCAUCCCCAUCCAUUGGCAGUUACGGUGGCAGAAGCCCAAAGGCGGCCCACAGAGGCACUUUCAGAUACACAUGCCUGACUGAGGCAGAAGAGUCAUGGCAACCCAAGGCAACACAGGCUGGCAAUAUUCAUUCCUAUGGAAUGCGAUGGUGGAAGAGUCAGACAUCUCUCCUCCUCGACUAGUCUGUGAUGUUCUACCAGCCAGAGGGAGAGUGCUUCUCCCCCAACAUGCAAAGAUCAUGGAUAUCUCUCACUCAACUUGUCUCUCUCUGCUUCCACAAAGACUGAAGAAGAGCAAGAAUUAAGAUGCAGGAGCCCAAUUCAAUGUAGCAUUGGGGCUCCGAGUAUAGGGAACAGCUUUCCCUGGAGGGCAAUAAACACUUCAUCACCACCCA